AUGCAAUGUUGAGGACAUUUUCUCAGCAUACCUUAAAUCUAUCCCAUGCCUCAUGCAAUUGCUCUGACUCCAUCUGUCUAAAUUGAGUAAUCUCACCCCUUAGUUG
Humulus lupulus (European hop) is the source of this 106-nucleotide small nucleolar RNA. Lineage: Eukaryota; Viridiplantae; Streptophyta; Magnoliopsida; Rosales; Cannabaceae. The record is from RefSeq and is a predicted model, not a curated record.